UCUCAAAUCAGGUAGACUACCCGCUGAACUUAAGCAUAUCAAUAAGCGGAGGAAAAGAAACUAACAAGGAUUCCCCUAGUAACGGCGAGUGAAGCGGGAAGAGCUCAAAUUUAAAAUCUGGCGGUGUAUUCCGUCCGAGUUGUAGUCUAGAGAAGCAUCAUCCGUGCCGGACCAUGUACAAGUCUCUUGGAACAGAGCGUCAUAGAGGGUGAGAAUCCCGUCCUUGACAUGGACUCCCGGUGCUUUGUGUUGAGCUCUCAACGAGUCGAGUUGUUUGGGAAUGCAGCUCAAAAUGGGUGGUAAAUUCCAUCUAAAGCUAAAUAUUGGCGAGAGACCGAUAGCGAACAAGUACCGUGAGGGAAAGAUGAAAAGCACUUUGGAGAGAGAGUUAAACAGUACGUGAAAUUGUUGAAAUGGAAACGAUUGAAGUCAGUCGCGUUCUCUGGGAUUCAGCCUUGCUUCUGCUUGGUGCAUUUCCUAGUCUACGGGCCAGCAUGGAUUUCGACCGUUGGAAAAGGGCUGGGGGAAUGUGGCACCUUCGGGUGUGUUAUAGCCCCUUGUCGCAUGCAUCGGUUGGGAUCGAGGACCUCAGUGCACGCUUCGGUUGUGCUUUGAUGCUGGCGUAAU
This 627-nucleotide ribosomal RNA is filed under the name uncultured Basidiomycota. Its description in RNAcentral is "LSU rRNA". It matches the Rfam family "Eukaryotic large subunit ribosomal RNA", at positions 1 to 635 of the family's 3401-position model. The record is from RNAcentral. Lineage: Eukaryota; Fungi; Basidiomycota.